AAUAGAUACCCGGGUAGUCCAUGCCGUAAACGAUGUCUACUAGCCGUUGGGGCCUUUGAGGCUUUAGUGGCGCAGCUAACGCGAUAAGUAGACCGCCUGGGGAGUACGGUCGCAAGACUAAAACUCAAAUGAAUUGACGGGGGCCCGCACAAGCGGUGGAGCAUGUGGUUUAAUUCGAUGCAACGCGAAGAACCUUACCUGGUCUUGACAUAGUAAGAACUUUCCAGAGAUGGAUUGGUGCCUUCGGGAACUUACAUACAGGUGCUGCAUAGCUGUCGUCAGCUCGUGUCGUGAGAUGUUGGGUUAAGUCCCGCAACGAGCGCAACCCUUUUCCUUAUUUGCCAGCGGGUUAAGCCGGGAACUUUAAGGAUACUGCCAGUGACAAACUGGAGGAAGGCGGGGACGACGUCAAGUCAUCAUGGCCCUUACGACCAGGGCUACACACGUGCUACAAUGGUCGGUACAAAGGGUUGCUACCUAGCGAUAGGAUGCUAAUCUCAAAAAGCCGAUCGUAGUCCGGAUUGGAGUCUGCAACUCGACUCC
RNAcentral lists this ribosomal RNA (543 nucleotides) under uncultured bacterium. RNAcentral's name for it is "bacterial SSU rRNA". It matches the Rfam family "Bacterial small subunit ribosomal RNA", at positions 777 to 1319 of the family's 1533-position model. The record is from RNAcentral.